UGUGUUUAGUGGAAACGUACCUCUUACUGUAAGCUGUGAAAUAUGUUUCCAAGUGAGCAACCAUCUAAAUUGUUUUCUCCCUAUGAGAUUAUGAGCUCCUUCGAGAUAUAUGCCCAGUGGCUUUUGUUUUUUGACUGGCAUUGGAAUCCUGGUUGUGCUACCCCUUGGACCUUGGGAAUAAUGCAUACUACCUUUCUGGGAUUUGCACCCUAACACAGCCUGAGUAUGGAAUUAUUUGAGAAAGAAGACAAAAGAUAGUCAGAUGGAGUGCCCAGGUGUCCCCUUUAUUACCAAUGAAGCUGAUGUUUGGAGAAUAUGAACAACAGUGGGAUUCCUGUUAUCAUACUGCAGAAUCAGACCUCUCAGCCAGCCACGGGCGGUGCCAGGUCCGAGAAGGCCUCCCCACAUGGGGGCUGCCCCGUACCACUUCCAGAAUGGAGGAGCAGAGCAGAACGCCACCUUCCAGUGUUAGAGAAGAGCUACACAUGUCUCUAUCUCUCCCUAUACCUGCAAACAGUGGCUCCCACAACAGCUUUCUUUUGCCACUUUGUGAGUGGUAUGUCUUAAAAUUCGAGUGAGGCCGUCCGCCUGGGUUUUACGUUGUAUAUGAAGAUACAUAGCAAAUCAGGACUGCAUAGACUUCAUAAAGAAGAUGUUCUGUUAGCGGAGAAUUCGGAGCACUGAGAGAACGUGUGAACUGGGAGGGCCCACUACUCCAUUUCUUAGGAGCCCAGGAUGCCUGGCAAGGAGAGAUGGUUGUUUCCACUUGUUCCUGAAUAAUUCAGUGCACUUCCUCCCAGCCCUUAUUUCUUUGCAAGCAUUCGGUGGACAUCAAAAAAAAAAAAAAAACAAAAACUUUCUGGAAAAGGUUUAAAAUUUCUUUUUCAUCAAGAUAAAGAUUCUGUGAUGUUAUAUUUUUUUCAAACCCCAAAAAGAAAAAACUUGAAUAAGGAGGUUUGCAAUUACAUUUCCUACAGCCUCACCUAAGCCCUUUGCAUUGAAGUAUUUAAAAUGUAUGUAGAAAAAGAUCAUGACAAUUGAGGAGGCAUUUUUGUUUCAAAAAAUAGAAUGCCCAUCCCUGAACUUAAACAUGAACUUUUGUCCUAGUUUUCCAUGUGUUUUUGAGUUGUAAUGAUCAAAAUGCCAACUAUGAGGUAAGUAGGUGGUACCAAGAAGUGACUAGUUUAUACUGUUUAAAUGUUUCUAGUUUCUUUCAUUCAAGGAGUAUGAAGCAUCCCACAAACACUGGCACAAGCUGGAGAUCUGACCUCUACGUUGGGAGGGUAGCUUUGGCCUCAUUCUCU
Globicephala melas (long-finned pilot whale) is the source of this 1304-nucleotide long non-coding RNA. RefSeq lists it as uncharacterized. The record is from RefSeq and is a predicted model, not a curated record. NCBI's taxonomy places the organism in Eukaryota, Metazoa, Chordata, Mammalia, Artiodactyla, Delphinidae.